This 391-nucleotide RNase P RNA is filed under the name Flavobacteriales bacterium. RNAcentral's name for it is "RNase P RNA component class A". It matches the Rfam family "Bacterial RNase P class A". Rfam says of the family: Ribonuclease P (RNase P) is a ubiquitous endoribonuclease, found in archaea, bacteria and eukarya as well as chloroplasts and mitochondria. Its best characterised activity is the generation of mature 5'-ends of tRNAs by cleaving the 5'-leader elements of precursor-tRNAs. Lineage: Bacteria; Pseudomonadati; Bacteroidota; Flavobacteriia; Flavobacteriales. The record is from RNAcentral.
CCUGUGCAUCGCUCCACCGCCGCAUUUGCAGAACUGCGGAGGAAAGUCCGGGCAGCGUAGGGCACCGUGCUUCCUAACGGGAAGGGGCGCCACUGGGAACGGUGGCGUUACGGAAAGUGCCGCAGAAAGGGAGACCGCCAUCCGCAAGGAGGGUAAGGGUGAAAAGGUGGGGUAAGAGCCCACCAGCGCCGGUGGCGACACCGGCGGCUUGGUAAACCCCACGGGCUGAAAGACCAUGUAUACCGGGGCUCCGCCGCAAGGCGGAUAAGGGCGGCUCGUCCGAUCCCGGAGGGUAGGUCGAUUGAUCCCGUUGGCAACGACGGGACUAGAUAGAUGGUGGAGGCUCGCCGCAAGGCGGGAACAGGACCCGGCUUACAGAUGCACAGGCUCU